Molecule: unclassified non-coding RNA, 257 nt
Filed under: Hevea brasiliensis (rubber tree)
Lineage: Eukaryota; Viridiplantae; Streptophyta; Magnoliopsida; Malpighiales; Euphorbiaceae
Source: RNAcentral
AAGAAGAAGAAGAAGAAGAGGAAAGAAAUAUGAACUUUUUAUGUUUGAUCUUCCCCACAAGUUAUAGAGUCAUGAUCAAAGGGUGAAGCUUUUAGUUCACCUUUAUUAAUUACUUUUGGCUAAUUAUAUAUGUUUUUAUUUCAUAAUUUGUAAAUUGUUUAUCAUUGUAUUUGCAUGCAUAUAUAUAUGUACUUAAGAUGUUUGUUUUUCGUCACAAUUAAUGUUGUAUCUUGUAAUAAUUAAUCAUAAUGUUUCUG